CACGUAGGAAAGAAUCAUAAUUGUAUUUCGGAUAUACAUGGCUGGCCCGUGAUAUCCAUGUCGUUCACGAGCGUUCACCAUCUUCUUUCUCUUUCGAUAUGAUCGUGUUCUUUGGCUUUGCUUUGCUCCACUAGAUACAGAUUCUGAGCUACUGCCAACUGGUGAUAUCUCCAUCUCUUCUUACCUAACAUUAGCUUCUACAAACUUUAAAAGCAUCUACAACAUCUGUCGUUGUUGAUAUACUUGCAAGAGAAAUUUAUGAGAAAAAGAUGUUGAAGCAAUCACACAACCGAAACCCGAGGACAAAUGGCUACAAGGUAAAACAAGGUCUUCAAAUAUUUACUUUAAUUGUUGUUGGCAUCUGGUUGCUAUACCAACUCAAACACUCACAUGAAAACAAAAUACUUGGAAGGAAAGGGUUGCAGUUAUGGAUGAAAAAACCCUACGAAUUGAUGGGUGAUGCAAAAGAGAGAAAAACUGAAAUUUUCAUGAAAGAAAAUACGGUGGAAGAGGAAGAACCGGAGGAUGUAGAGGACAUGAUUGAUGAAGAAGACAAGGAAGAGGAGGAAGAAAACGAAGCAGUAGAUGCAGAUAUGAGCUUAUUCGAAUAUCAAAGCCAUACUGAAGGUGAGAAAGAAACACAACCAACAACUCAAAAACAUUUCAAAAAUGUUGUUGUACCGUGAAACACCAAGGCUUUGUUUGCGAGUUUGGAGGGAAGGUGAAUGAAAGGCUUUGAAGGGUGGAAAAUACGAGGGAAAAUGAAGAAAUCUUUUAAAUUUUUUGAAAGUGUACUUUUUUAGAGAAUGAUAAAUUAAUGCAUAUGAUUACUAUA
Medicago truncatula (barrel medic) is the source of this 835-nucleotide long non-coding RNA. RefSeq lists it as uncharacterized. The transcript has 2 exons. The record is from RefSeq and is a predicted model, not a curated record. NCBI's taxonomy places the organism in Eukaryota, Viridiplantae, Streptophyta, Magnoliopsida, Fabales, Fabaceae.